Molecule: long non-coding RNA, 633 nt
Filed under: Canis lupus familiaris (dog)
Lineage: Eukaryota; Metazoa; Chordata; Mammalia; Carnivora; Canidae
Description: lncRNA (ENSCAFG00845013915.1)
Source: RNAcentral
GGGACCGGGACGGGGGCAGAGCCACUGGUUGCCCCUCCCCUUGAAGUGACCAGGGACUGAAAUGUCCAGGUCUGGACUCCAACCCAGGGGUUUGUACCCACAAGGCUCAGGGACGCCCUGGGAAGGAAUCUCCCAACAGUGGAUGCUUCCCCUGCCUCACUGUAGGCCCAAAUGGAUCCAGCAGGGAGGCAGCCUGCCAUGGGCCCCUGCUCAGGGGACCCCCACCUGGGCGGGGCCUCCUGGCUCCUGGGACUCACCCUCCUCCUCCUCAGCGUCUGCAGCACUGGCACCCAGGGUUCUGCAGCCCAUGGUUCUGGAGUUGAGGAUUCUGGAAACCCCGUUUCCCUGAAGGGGAUGCAAGGAGCUUCUGUGUUGUUUCAAGUGCUCAGAAACCCAGACUUGCCUGCAGGAGUCGAGCUGGAGAACAUGACCUGGGGGAUCUCCUCCGGGGCAAACUACACAACCCUGCUGCAGGUCUCCCCUGGGGCACGCGAUCCAGAAUGGGUCAACUUCCAGGACAAGUUCCAGAAGAGGGUCCGUGUGCUCAACAUUACGACCCUGAGGAUGAACAACCUGACCCUGGAGGACACUGGGCUGUACCGGGCUCGGGGCUCAAACACCAGAGGAAUAUAG